GAUGAACGCUGGCGGCGUGCCUAAUACAUGCAAGUCGAGCGAACGGACGAGAAGCUUGCUUUUCUGAUGUUAGCGGCGGACGGGUGAGUAACACGUGGAUAACCUACCUAUAAGACUGGGAUAACUUCGGGAAACCGGAGCUAAUACCGGAUAAUAUUUUGAACCGCAUGGUUCAAAAGUGAAAGACGGUCUUGCUGUCACUUAUAGAUGGAUCCGCGCUGCAUUAGCUAGUUGGUAAGGUAACGGCUUACCAAGGCAACGAUGCAUAGCCGACCUGAGAGGGUGAUCGGCCACACUGGAACUUAGACACGGUCCAGACUCCUACGGGAGGCAGCAGUAGGGAAUCUUCCGCAAUGGGCGAAAGCCUGACGGAGCAACGCCGCGUGAGGUAUUAAGGUCUUCGGAUCGGAAAACUCUUUUAUUAGGGAAGAACAUAUGUGUAAGUAACUGUGCACAUCUUGACGGUACCUAAUCAGAAAGCCACGGCUAACUACGUG
Molecule: ribosomal RNA, 497 nt
Filed under: uncultured bacterium
Lineage: Bacteria
Description: partial 16S ribosomal RNA
Rfam family: Bacterial small subunit ribosomal RNA
Source: RNAcentral